Molecule: long non-coding RNA, 678 nt
Organism: Lepidothrix coronata (blue-crowned manakin)
Lineage: Eukaryota; Metazoa; Chordata; Aves; Passeriformes; Pipridae
Exons: 5
Source: RefSeq, a predicted model, not a curated record
GUGAGCUGAGUCGUGAUCUUCCUCUAAGUUCUGUGGAGUGGAAUCCUCCAGGGGCCCCCUGGAGCAGUAAGGCUGUGUGGGCAGCGGCUGCAGAGACAAAAAUCCAUCUUCCAAGAGGUCACUGUGUCCCGAGUGAACUAUUCUGCUGGGAGAAAUUAUGUCAGAAGUUCCUGGGCUGACAAUGCUUCUGCCUUGCAGGCUGCCAGGACCAAGGCCUCCCACAGGUACCCCACGACAGUGGACCUGGCACUUCAGACUCGCAGUGCAGUUUUUUCUGGCAUCUGCUGUGUGCUGGUGGUGAAUCACAUAGCCUGUUUCCAUGUGUCACGUGCCACGAGGCUGAGGCACAGCAUGAGAUCUCAUUUUGCGAAGCCCAAGGAUGGAUUUCUCGUGAAGUGACGGGAAAUGACCAAAUUGAAUGUCUCCAUGGAAGAAAACAUUACUUGAGAAUAUUAGACUAGUUUUUGCAGGUUUAGGUUCCAGUUACUGAGUAAACAUAACUAAGCCGCAGUUUUCCAGAUUUGCAGCUCUGUUCCCAUUUUAGACACCUCUCUGUGAAGGUGAUGUCUCUGUACUGCUGCCAACCAGUGUCUUCCAUGAGGAAUGACUUUCAGAAAGAGGACCUAGUAGGUGGUCCCUGAGAUAUUUGCAAUCAAAGCUGUAAAUAAAACCCGGGAG